AUACGUAGGGGACAAGCGUUAUCCGGAUUUACUGGGCGUAAAGGGCGCGUAGGCGGACUUGCAAGUCAGUAGUGAAAUUCCUGAGCUCAACUCGGGUGCUUCUUUUGAAACUGUAGGUCUUGAGUGUUGGAGGGGGAAGCGGAAUUCCUGGUGGAGCGGUGAAAUGCGCAGAUAUUGGGAAGAACACCGGUGGCGAAGGCGGCUAUCUGGACAGUAACUGACGCUGAGGCGCGAAAGAGUGGGGAGCAAACAGGAUUAUAUACCCUGGUAUACCACGCCGUAAACGAUGAAGACUAGGUGUAGGGGGUAUCGACUCCCUCUGUGCCGCAGUUAACACAAUAAGUAUUCCGCCUGGGGAGUACGGUCGCAAGGUUGAAACUCAAAGGAAUUGACGGGG
This 397-nucleotide ribosomal RNA is filed under the name uncultured bacterium. Its description in RNAcentral is "partial 16S ribosomal RNA". It matches the Rfam family "Bacterial small subunit ribosomal RNA", at positions 523 to 918 of the family's 1533-position model. The record is from RNAcentral.